UUCUUAUCAAGAGCAGGUGGAGGGACUAGCCCUAUGAAACCCGGCAACCGACUUACGCGAGUAGGCACGGUGCUAAUUCUUGCAGCAGUAGCUGACAGAUAAGAG
This is a regulatory RNA element of Paenisporosarcina sp. HGH0030, 105 nucleotides long. It matches the Rfam family "SAM riboswitch aptamer (S box leader)". From Rfam's summary of the family: The SAM riboswitch is found upstream of a number of genes which code for proteins involved in methionine or cysteine biosynthesis in Gram-positive bacteria. The SAM riboswitch acts at the level of transcription termination control. The record is from Rfam. Lineage: Bacteria; Bacillati; Bacillota; Bacilli; Caryophanales; Caryophanaceae.